AACAUCGCGCACCUGCGGGAACCUGCGGAAGGAUCAUUACAGAGUUGCAAGACUCCCUAAACCAUUGUGAACCUACCUUCUACCGUUGCUUCGGCGGGCGGGCCCAGCGCCCCCCCCGGCCCCCCGCGGGCGCCCGCCGGAGGAUACCCAAACUCUUGACAUUAGUGGCCUCUCUGAGUAUUCUUUACUGAAUAAGUCAAAACUUUCAACAACGGAUCU
This 219-nucleotide unclassified non-coding RNA is filed under the name soil metagenome. Its description in RNAcentral is "partial contains 5.8S ribosomal RNA, internal transcribed spacer 2, and large subunit ribosomal RNA". The record is from RNAcentral.